AUUGAACGCUGGCGGCAUGCCUUACACAUGCAAGUCGAACGGCAGCACGGGAGCAAUCCUGGUGGCGAGUGGCGAACGGGUGAGUAAUAUAUCGGAACGUGCCCAGUCGUGGGGGAUAACGCAGCGAAAGCUGUGCUAAUACCGCAUACGAUCUACGGAUGAAAGCGGGGGAUCGCAAGACCUCGCGCGAUUGGAGCGGCCGAUAUCAGAUUAGCUAGUUGGUGAGGUAAAGGAUCACCAAGGCGACGAUCUGUAGCUGGUCUGAGAGGACGACCAGCCACACGGGAACUGAGACACGGUCCAGACUCCUAAGGGAGGCAGAAGUGGGGAAUUUUGGACAAUGGGCGCAAGCCUGAUCCAGCAAUGCCGCGUGCAGGAUGAAGGCCUUCGGGUUGUAAACUGCUUUUGUACGGAACGAAACGGUGAGCUCUAAUACAGUUUGCUAAUGACGGUACCGUAAGAAUAAGCACCGGCUAACUACGUGCCAGCCGCCGCAGUAA
RNAcentral lists this ribosomal RNA (500 nucleotides) under uncultured bacterium. Its description in RNAcentral is "partial 16S ribosomal RNA". It matches the Rfam family "Bacterial small subunit ribosomal RNA", at positions 30 to 523 of the family's 1533-position model. The record is from RNAcentral.